AGGUGUGGACGGAUGGAAAAAAAUCACAGUUAACGUGUUAGAACUGAAAGAGGAAAGGAGGGGUACAGAAUUUCUCAAUCUGGAAACUUGUAAUAACACAAAACCAUGAGUUGGCCUAUACAGUAUUCCUCCUUGGAUUCCUGGCUAGGGACAUGGGGAGGAAAUGAAAGCAACCUGGAGCAACUAUCACAAUCAAUCUGGGACACUGGAAAGAGUCAAGAAGAUCAUUCAUUAAAGAGAAACAUCCAAAAUGAUGGAAGAGCAAAGUGAGGAUCCAAGAAGUUUCUGACAUGGUGUAUGAGUCAAAUGUAUGACAAUGGAGUUAUCUUGGUCAUGCAACAUGUGUUAAACCAGUUUUCUCUGGUUCCUAGUCCAUCCAAUGUGACUACAAUUAAACUAAGCUUAUUCUUCCGGGCAUCUCACACGAUUGUCGUGAGUGUUCCUUGUGCUGAUGGUUAUGGUUCUCUUCCGUUGCAAAGGCUUACAGAGUCUCGGGUAGCUCAGAGUCGUCAGCUACUAUCUCCCUUGACCAUAGAUAACUUCUCAGGGCUGCACCUUGGACCACACCAGAUCAAGUACAAUUCCUUGCUAAAUAAUCACCUCUAACGCUGAAAAUCCUAAAAUCGAAAACAGAAGAUAAGAGGUGCAAAUUUUCAGGAAAAAAAAACCAUCAGUUAUUAAAACAGUGAGAAAAUCAGUAAUGAAAGGCAAAGGAUUCCUGUGGGGAUUCGGAAACGAGCCCCAGACUCCACCAAAGAGCAAGAUGCACUUUUCAUGUUAGACUGUACAAUGAUCCAGUACAGUUUAGCAAGUGCUUAUUCUCUUAAACCUAUCUUUUUCAAAUAUGCUUUCUUUUUACUUGUAAAAAUGUUUUUCAUUGAGACUAUAACAUUUUAGAUUAUUUUUUGUUAAGUUACCUUUAUAGAAUUUUAAAAGGGUGAGUUCUCUGCAUCAUCCCUGGAUAUGACUUUGUAUGUAAAGCAUGACCCAGAAUGAGUGUAAAAAUGUGCUCCUAAGAAUUAACACAAGUGUCUCCUCAAAAUAGGAAUGUUGACAAAACUACCUAAGUAAUUCAUAAAGUAAAUUGUAAGACUCUGCUUUAUUAAACUUUGUUACACCAA
Long non-coding RNA from Mus musculus (house mouse), 1121 nucleotides. RefSeq annotates it as predicted gene, 31258. Lineage: Eukaryota; Metazoa; Chordata; Mammalia; Rodentia; Muridae. The transcript is spliced from 3 exons. The record is from RefSeq and is a predicted model, not a curated record.